CUUGUGGACUGUUAUAUCAAAUGAGAGUAGUUUUUAUGCUGUGAGUGUAAAGGGCGAAAUCAGGCAGGUUGAAGCAAGAA
This 80-nucleotide non-coding RNA is filed under the name unclassified sequences. Its description in RNAcentral is "RAGATH-18 RNA". It matches the Rfam family "RAGATH-18 RNA". From Rfam's summary of the family: Actinobacteria, Firmicutes, Fusobacteria, Thermotogae (1 example). Nearby to self-cleaving ribozyme genes The record is from Rfam by way of RNAcentral.